RNAcentral lists this transfer RNA (76 nucleotides) under Corynebacterium glutamicum. RNAcentral describes it as "tRNA-Arg". It matches the Rfam family "tRNA". Rfam says of the family: Transfer RNA (tRNA) molecules are approximately 80 nucleotides in length. Lineage: Bacteria; Bacillati; Actinomycetota; Actinomycetes; Mycobacteriales; Corynebacteriaceae. The record is from RNAcentral.
UGAUCAUUAGCUCAAUGGAUAGAGCAGCUCACUUCUAAUGAGCAGGCUGCAGGUUCGAGUCCUGCAUGGUCAGCAA